Molecule: ribosomal RNA, 523 nt
Filed under: Macrocera parva
Lineage: Eukaryota; Metazoa; Arthropoda; Insecta; Diptera; Keroplatidae
Description: partial small subunit ribosomal RNA
Source: RNAcentral
GUCUUUUUGUAUUUUAUUUAAAGUUUAACCUGCCCAUUGAAAAAUUUUAAAAGGCCGCGGUAUUUUAACCGUGCAAAGGUAGCAUAAUCAUUAGUUUUUUAAUUGAAAGCUUGUAUGAAUGGUUGAAUGUAAUAUUAACUGUCUCAUAAAUAUUAUUAUUAUAAUUUUAUUUUUUAGUUAAAAAACUAAAAUAUAUUUAUAGGACGAGAAGACCCUAUAGAGUUUAAUAAUUUUAAUUUUUAAAUAUUUUUAUUAAAAUUAUUUUUGUUUUUUAAUAUUUUUAAAUAUAUUAUUUUAUUGGGGAGAUAAUAAAAUUUAAUAAACUUUUAUAUAAUUUUAACAUAAAUUAAUGAAUUAUUGAUCCUUUAUUAAAGAUUAAAAAUUUAAAUUACCUUAGGGAUAACAGCAUAAUUUUUUUUUGAAGAUCUUAUUUAUAAAAAAGAUUGUGACCUCGAUGUUGGAUUAAAAUUAAUUUUAGGUGAAGAAGCUUAAUCUAUUAAGUCUGUUCGACUUUUAAUAUUUU